RNAcentral lists this ribosomal RNA (497 nucleotides) under uncultured bacterium. RNAcentral describes it as "partial 16S ribosomal RNA". It matches the Rfam family "Bacterial small subunit ribosomal RNA", at positions 28 to 507 of the family's 1533-position model. The record is from RNAcentral.
GAUGAACGCUGGCGGCGUGCCUAAUACAUGCAAGUCGAGCGAACAGACGAGGAGCUUGCUCCUCUGACGUUAGCGGCGGACGGGUGAGUAACACGUGGAUAACCUACCUAUAAUACUGGGAUAACUUCGGGAAACCGGAGCUAAUACCGGAUAAUAUAUUGAACCGCAUGGUUCAAUAGUGAAAGACGGUUUUGCUGUCACUUAUAGAUGGAUCCGCGCCGCAUUAGCUAGUUGGUAAGGUAACGGCUUACCAAGGCAACGAUGCGUAGCCGACCUGAGAGGGUGAUCGGCCACACGGGAACUGAGACACGGUCCAGACUCCUACGGGAGGCAGCAGUAGGGAAUCUUCCGCAAUGGGCGAAAGCCUGACGGAGCAACGCCGCGUGAGUGAUGAAGGUCUUCGGAUCGUAAAACUCUGUUAUUAGGGAAGAACAAAUGUGUAAGUAACUAUGCACGUCUUGACGGUACCUAAUCAGAAAGCCACGGCUAACUACGUG